Pseudophryne corroboree (corroboree frog) is the source of this 773-nucleotide long non-coding RNA. RefSeq lists it as uncharacterized. The transcript is spliced from 2 exons. Lineage: Eukaryota; Metazoa; Chordata; Amphibia; Anura; Myobatrachidae. The record is from RefSeq and is a predicted model, not a curated record.
GAUCAUGGGCCUCACCCCGUUGCGCAAUACCACAUUUUGCGGCAACAAACAGGCACUGCCGAUGCAUAUCGCAGUGAAUCACAUAAUUAAGCGUAUGCCCACUUCAAAUGUGUAUUUGUGUAGCUGGGAAUGACGACCUCCCAACAUCUUCAGAAGGCAGCCCAGGACACCGUGGCCAAAAAGGGGGUGUGACUUUCAUCACUGUGGGGGCAUGCCUAGCGCUCUGAGUUGCUGGCAUGCCCCCUCUCCCUCUCGUGAACAGACGCUGUGUGCAUAGCAUCUAGUCACUACUGCUCUGUGUAAUUCAUAAGCGUCCCAGUUAAAGGGAUAAUAUGGUUCACCUCACUGUCAUUGCCAAAAUACAAGAGGACCUCGUCAGGCACGUGCUCUGUAGUAAUCCCGUGAUAUAACCGUUAUAGCUGCCAAACUGCAAGAACUGAAGAUACAUUCUCGGGAGGACUAGGGAACCAAACCAUAGAGACUACUAACAAACAGAAAAACUCUUUCAAUCCAAACUUUAUUAACUUCUCUUGAAAUACAGACGCACAGUGCACAGCCGCCCAGCCAGAAGUAAAACGAAACCUCCACAAGCACUGUAGGACUAGCCAGAGCGUCUCCCUUCUUUCCUCUACUCGUAGCAGUCUCCUACCAUAGAGAGUGCAGCGCAGCCUCAGAGCAGCAGCAGCUUCAUAAGCACCGACUGUGUCUCUGGCUCUGCUCUUGGAGGAGGAGUCAGGAGCGCAGUCCUUACUAAUAAAGGCCAAUUUGACAUC